UACGUAGGGUGCGAGCGUUAAUCGGAAUUACUGGGCGUAAAGCGUGCGCAGGCGGUGAUGUAAGACAGUUGUGAAAUCCCCGGGCUCAACCUGGGAACUGCAUCUGUGACUGCAUCGCUGGAGUGCGGCAGAGGGGGAUGGAAUUCCGCGUGUAGCAGUGAAAUGCAUAGAUAUGACCCGGAACACCGAUUGCGAAGGCAGCCCACUAAGCAAUGAUUGACGCUGAGGCACGAAAGCGUGGGGAUCAAACAGG
This 253-nucleotide ribosomal RNA is filed under the name uncultured bacterium. RNAcentral describes it as "partial 16S ribosomal RNA". It matches the Rfam family "Bacterial small subunit ribosomal RNA", at positions 524 to 776 of the family's 1533-position model. The record is from RNAcentral.